Long non-coding RNA from Poecile atricapillus (Black-capped chickadee), 596 nucleotides. RefSeq lists it as uncharacterized. Lineage: Eukaryota; Metazoa; Chordata; Aves; Passeriformes; Paridae. The record is from RefSeq and is a predicted model, not a curated record. The transcript is spliced from 2 exons.
AUUUGGGGUGCCAAGCUCUUUCUUCCUUCCUGAAGGGCACAGUUGCUCCCAAGCCCCUGAAGGCAAAUUGAGUUAUGCCUUUGUCCAUGGAUAAGCCACUCUGUGUAUCCAAGGGGAAAUUUUAAUUAGAGGCCUUGCAGAUGGAUGGCUGUGUGCAGGGAGCCUGGGCUCCCCACAGAUUUGAAGCCAUAUCUAUUGUGACUGGUUGGUGGCAAGAAAAGGGAGAGGAAGGCUCCCUCCUUGGCACUUCUGAGGAAAAACACCUCCCCAGCUCCUCUGGAUCCCAUGGGUAGAAGAUGUUCUCCUCCUCCCCACCCCUCCUUCCCUGGGGGCUGCCCUCUCCUGUUCUCCUGCCGGCCCAGCCUGCCCCAGGCAAGGGAGGUGCACGGGGGACUCUUGCACAUCAUUGGUCUGAGAAGGUCUCCAUGCCCUUAAAGAGAAGGUGGAUUUUCUGCUGAGCCACCCGAGAAGCCCUUUUAUACCUCCUUACUCAGCCAGCUGCCUGUGGCUCGUCUGUCCAUCCUGUCCAGCCAGCACGACUCUGAUUUUCUGCAGACCCGGGUUCACAACCAUCUAAACCAAGAUGUCUGAGUAAG